Molecule: ribosomal RNA, 253 nt
Filed under: uncultured bacterium
Lineage: Bacteria
Description: partial 16S ribosomal RNA
Rfam family: Bacterial small subunit ribosomal RNA
Source: RNAcentral
UACGAAGGGGGCUAGCGUUGUUCGGAAUUAUUGGGCGUAAAGAGCUCGUAGGCGGUCUGUCGCGUCGGCUGUGAAAACCCGAGGCUCAACCUCGGGCCUGCAGUCGAUACGGGCAGACUAGAGUGCUGUAGGGGAGACUGGAAUUCCUGGUGUAGCGGUGAAAUGCGCAGAUAUCAGGAGGAACACCGGUGGCGAAGGCGGGUCUCUGGGCAGUAACUGACGCUGAGGAGCGAAAGCGUGGGGAGCAAACAGG